GGGUUCGACCAACUUUUGGUUAUCGCUGCUGGUGGAGUUUGAGGAUGGGGAUGGCGAUAUCGGAUCCAUGCACAUUAAACAAGCGGGUUCGACGCAAUGGUUACAAAUGAAUCACGUAUGGGGAGCAAGCUGGUGCAUCGUGCAGGGACCUCUUCAUGGGCCGUUUUCGGUGAAGUUAACGACUUUGUCGACGAAGAAGACACUUUCGGCGAGGGAUGUGAUACCUAAGAAUUGGUCUCCCAAGGCGACCUAUACCUCGCGUCUCAAUUUUAUAUAGUGU
RNAcentral lists this unclassified non-coding RNA (280 nucleotides) under Hevea brasiliensis (rubber tree). The record is from RNAcentral. Lineage: Eukaryota; Viridiplantae; Streptophyta; Magnoliopsida; Malpighiales; Euphorbiaceae.